GGGUACACUACGGGAGAAUAGCUAGUACUCGGCCAGCUGCAGAAGCAGGAGGGGAACAAGCCUAGCAGAGGUAUCUGUUCCAUUCCCAGCUGGCUCGGCUCAGUAGCUGGUGAUUGGAAGACACUCUGCAAUGUCA
Molecule: small nucleolar RNA, 136 nt
Filed under: Mus pahari (shrew mouse)
Lineage: Eukaryota; Metazoa; Chordata; Mammalia; Rodentia; Muridae
Description: predicted gene, 27991 (MGP_PahariEiJ_G0033969.1)
Source: RNAcentral